RNAcentral lists this transfer RNA (72 nucleotides) under Sphaerodactylus townsendi. RNAcentral's name for it is "tRNA-Ala". It matches the Rfam family "tRNA". Rfam says of the family: Transfer RNA (tRNA) molecules are approximately 80 nucleotides in length. Their secondary structure includes four short double-helical elements and three loops (D, anti-codon, and T loops). The record is from RNAcentral. Lineage: Eukaryota; Metazoa; Chordata; Lepidosauria; Squamata; Sphaerodactylidae.
GGGGUUGUGGCUCAGUGGAAGAGGCUCUGCUUGGCAAGCAAAAUGUCCCAGGUUCAAUCCCCGGCAUCUCCA